RNAcentral lists this ribosomal RNA (492 nucleotides) under uncultured bacterium. RNAcentral describes it as "partial 16S ribosomal RNA". It matches the Rfam family "Bacterial small subunit ribosomal RNA", at positions 29 to 507 of the family's 1533-position model. The record is from RNAcentral.
AGUGAACGCUGGCGGUAGGCCUAACACAUGCAAGUCGAACGGCAGCACAGUAAGAGCUUGCUCUUACGGGUGGCGAGUGGCGGACGGGUGAGGAAUACAUCGGAAUCUACUUUUUCGUGGGGGAUAACGUAGGGAAACUUACGCUAAUACCGCAUACGACCUACGGGUGAAAGCAGGGGAUCUUCGGACCUUGCGCGAUUGAAUGAGCCGAUGUCGGAUUAGCUAGUUGGCGGGGUAAAGGCCCGCCAAGGCGACGAUCCGUAGCUGGUCUGAGAGGAUUAUCAGCCACACUGGAACUGAGACACGGUCCAGACUCCUACGGGAGGCAGCAGUGGGGAAUAUUGGACAAUGGGCGCAAGCCUGAUCCAGCCAUACCGCGUGGGUGAAGAAGGCCUUCGGGUUGUAAAGCCCUUUUGUUGGGAAAGAAAAGCAGCAGGUUAAUACCCCGCUGUUCUGACGGUACCCAAAGAAUAAGCACCGGCUAACUUCGUG